This 349-nucleotide ribosomal RNA is filed under the name uncultured bacterium. RNAcentral's name for it is "bacterial SSU rRNA". It matches the Rfam family "Bacterial small subunit ribosomal RNA", at positions 8 to 350 of the family's 1533-position model. The record is from RNAcentral.
AGAGUUUGAUCAUGGCUCAGGAUGAACGCUAGCGGCAGGCUUAACACAUGCAAGUCGAGGGGCAGCAUAAUGGAUAGCAAUAUCUAUGGUGGCGACCGGCGCACGGGUGCGUAACGCGUAUGCAACCUACCUUUAACAGGGGGAUAACACUGAGAAAUUGGUACUAAUACCCCAUAAUAUCAUAGAAGGCAUCUUUUAUGGUUGAAAAUUCCGAUGGUUAGAGAUGGGCAUGCGUUGUAUUAGCUAGUUGGUGGGGUAACGGCUCACCAAGGCGACGAUACAUAGGGGGACUGAGAGGUUAACCCCCCACACUGGUACUGAGACACGGACCAGACUCCGUACGGAGGCA